AUACUGGAGGCUCAGCAGACUUUUCUGGUGAUCUCCUAUGAGGGCCGUGGCCACACUGUGGUUGACCUUGACCAUGCACUUGGCAAUGAAGCUUAUUGAGUUGAGAGCAAGAAGCUAAAGAAUGAUACAGAAGAACAUUUCUUCCUCAUUUCUGAUGUUUUCUUCUGUAGUAAAGAAAUUCAACUUGACUUUUACCUUCUUUCUGCUCCGGGGGAGGGAGGGUGACUUCUCUGAUUGGGUGCUGUGGGAAGAGCAAACUGGGUGUGUCUGGGUCACGUUCAUCUUUCUCCAUCAUGGGAAUGAGCAUGAAUCAUCUUGGUUCUUCUAGGGGAAAGCUUGCUAUAUUUCAACCCAGCGCCUGUCAGAAUAGAAUAGGACAACCUUUAAACCAAUAAAGGUCAGAACUUUUGAACAAUAAUCCCCCACUUGGAAGUCAAACAGGCUUAACUGCAAAACUAAGAAGCAGGAAACAAGCUCAUUAACAUCAAACACAUUUAAGAUUGAUGGAGGAAGACUUAAGGUUGCUCUUCAUUUGUGGCCUCUCUCUCUCAAACAACUUUUUUUGAACAUGAAGUUUGACCACCAAGACUCCUCUGCCAUGUACAGCUGUAUGCAGUCUUUCCUGAUACCUUUAAUCCUCCACUUCAUGACAUCAUCACGGACAUGGAGAAAAGGUAAGCUACUGAUGCUGGGAGGGAUUGGGGGCAUGAGGAGAAGGGGACGACAGAGGAUGAGAUGGCUGGAUGGCAUCACUGACUCGAUGGACGUGAGUCUGAGUGAACUCCAGGAGUUGGUGAUGGACAGGGAGGCCCGGCGUGCUGCGAUUCACGGGGUUGCAAAGAGUCGGACACGACUGAGCAACUGAACUGAACUGAUGUAGCUUUUGUUUGAAAAUAGACUGUGUAGUUAUGAGAUGAUCUAGCAAAACAUUGAAGACUAUUACACAUCCGAAUUUCACUAAGCUAGGGAAUAAAAUAUUCUGGUUUCCUAUUUGCCUAUGUGGU
This 1004-nucleotide long non-coding RNA is filed under the name Bos indicus x Bos taurus (hybrid cattle). RNAcentral's name for it is "lncRNA (ENSBIXG00000007082.1)". The record is from RNAcentral. Lineage: Eukaryota; Metazoa; Chordata; Mammalia; Artiodactyla; Bovidae.